This 152-nucleotide ribosomal RNA is filed under the name Gobiocypris rarus. The record is from RNAcentral. Lineage: Eukaryota; Metazoa; Chordata; Actinopteri; Cypriniformes; Gobionidae.
GUAGACUAAGCAGUGGUAUCAACGCAGAGUGGCCUUACGGCCAUACCACCUUGAGCACGCCCGAUCUCGUCUGAUCUCGGAAGCUAAGCAGGGUCGGGCCUGGUUAGUACUUGGAUGGGAGACCGCCUGGGAAUACCAGGUGCUGUAAGCAU